AACGAACGCUGGCGGCAGGCUUAACACAUGCAAGUCGAACGGUUGUAGCAAUACAGCAGUGGCAGACGGGUGAGUAACACGUGGGAACCUUCCUAGGGGUACGGAACAACUCAGGGAAACUUGAGCUAAUACCGUAUACGUCCGUGAGGAGAAAGAUUCAUCGCCCCUAGACGGGCCCGCGUAGGAUUAGGUAGUUGGUGAGGUAACGGCUCACCAAGCCUACGAUCCUUAGCUGAUCUGAGAGGAUGAUCAGCCACACUGGGACUGAGACACGGCCCAGACUCCUACGGGAGGCAGCAGUGGGGAAUCUUGGACAAAUGGGCGCAAGCCUGAUCCAGCCAUGCCGCGUGAGUGAAGAAGGCCUCGGUUGUAAGACCUUUGGCAGGACGAUGAUGACGGUACCUGCAGAAUAAGACCCGGCGUAACUUCGUGCCAGCAGCGCGGU
RNAcentral lists this ribosomal RNA (445 nucleotides) under uncultured bacterium. Its description in RNAcentral is "bacterial SSU rRNA". It matches the Rfam family "Bacterial small subunit ribosomal RNA", at positions 29 to 521 of the family's 1533-position model. The record is from RNAcentral.